This is a long non-coding RNA of Lactuca sativa (garden lettuce), 1728 nucleotides long. RefSeq lists it as uncharacterized. The record is from RefSeq and is a predicted model, not a curated record. Lineage: Eukaryota; Viridiplantae; Streptophyta; Magnoliopsida; Asterales; Asteraceae.
GCACUAGCCGUCAUCCCCACCUUAUCACCCCUCCUCCAGCCGCCAUCGCCGACCCUUCCCCCUUGUUUCUCCGAUCAGUUGCCGACGAGUAGGACCAACGAAGCCAGCAACCUUGCCCCACCUUUCUGACCGAGAGCUUUGUUGGAGACCAAGUUGGAGCAAAGGUCCCCAGCCGCCGCAACCAUGGGAAUGACUUCAAUCGUUGCUGCUUCGCCGUGGGUUGCCGCCGUCGCAGCCCCGCUGCCGGUAACGACGUGUUCGUCGUGAUAGCCGCCAAGACCGACGACCGAGUGGGGUUUUGCUGCUGCAAGAGGCGUGAGUGAUCAGAAGAUCGAUGGUGAUCCCAUCCGCCGCCAUAGGUCCAUAGUGCAAAUGAGAAUCAUGUGUGCGGGGCUGUAUUUCCAUAUUUAGUGUGUGAUAUGUGUGUGUUGUCUAGCCGGAAUUCCUAAGAACAGCCGCCGACCACCGCUAGGGUGGUUAUGUGUGUGUGUUAUAAUUAGUUAGUGUGUGCGUGUGUGAUCAUUUUGAGUUAAGCACUGUAAUUGUAAUUAGCAAUGUAAUUGUAAUUAGCAAGAUGAAUAAUAAAAAGAAACUCAAAACCACCACCGUAAGGUGGUGGCCGCCGCCGUGUGCCGCCUUAGACCACCACUACCCGAGGUGGUAGUGGGUGGUGCCCCGCUAGCAAACCCUAAUGGGCUUAGACAAAAAUUGGACCAUGUUUGGGUGGAAAACCCUAAUCAUGAGUAUUGAGCCUUAGACUUAUUGGACCCAUUUUUGGGCCAUUGAGAUUGGAUUGUAUAUUAAGCUCAAAUUCUCCAUACCAAUUAUCUAGUAAAGGACUUAAUGGACUAAGUCCUUAAUGGGCUAAUUGAGAAAAUACUAAUAUUCGAGAAAGUAUCAAGACACACACACAGGAAUUAUUUAAUAAAUGAAAUAUUAAAUAAUAAUCAUUGACAGAGAUUAAUCUAAGCAUAAUUGACUUAAUGGAUUAAGUCCUUAGUGGGUUAAGCCCUUAAUUUCAUCAUUUUAUGUGAAAACCUAAUUUCACUUGGGCUUGGUGUUGGGCCAUCCAAGAUUAAUCAAAUGGACUAGAAUAAUUAGUUGGGCUCUUGGGUAAGGCCCAUAUGAAGGAUUGGGCCUAAUUUGGAAAAUUGGGCCAUAAAUGGACCAUAGUUGGGCCUCGUUGGUUGUAUGAUAUUGGGCCCUUAGAAUGAGACAUGUUGGACCGGACUGAGCAAUUGGGCCUUAAGGGAAGUCCAUGUAGAGGUUUGGGCCCAAUUUGGAAAAUUGGGCCAUAUGUUGGACUUUGAUCCCUAGUUGACUUUGGGCCUAUGGAUUGGGCCUUGGGCUUGGGUAAGCCAAGCUAGGGGUAAUGUAGUAAUUAUCCAAAGCAUGUAUUUUUAGUUAUGUGUUAGAACCCAAUUAUUAAUUGGGUGUUAUUUGGUGUUGACAGUUCGGGAAUCUGUCAGCCAGCAGCUGGGGUGGAGUCUGCGGGACUUCAGCAGUGUGGGAUUGUGUCUACGAGACUUCAGCAGUGUGAGGUAGUCAGUUUUCAAAGGAGGAGCUCGGAAAGAUUGAAGUGUACACACCAUUUGUUCAGCCUGGGAUGUUUAUACUCUGAUAUAUUUAACAGUUGUUAAGAUAUUUUGAGAUACAUUCUUUAUGAUUCUUAUAUGACGAUUGAUGAAUAUGGUUUUAUUACUAAUUUUAAACGAAAUUCAGACUGUA